Molecule: long non-coding RNA, 961 nt
Filed under: Capsella grandiflora
Lineage: Eukaryota; Viridiplantae; Streptophyta; Magnoliopsida; Brassicales; Brassicaceae
Description: long non-coding RNA (CGRA_LNC000237)
Source: RNAcentral
GAUAAUAUGGCAACACAUGUAUACCAUCAAAGACAACAGGUUUCCAUCUCAAAAAUUGGAAUUGAGUGAGAUUCCUAGCAUCCCCAUAUCUUGGAUUAAAUUUCACCUUUGGAUCAACCCAUUCCCGUUUUUCAGGUCAAACCUAGGUUCAUGAAUUUUUAUUUAAAAACCAGUUGAUGAUUAAAGAAAUCAUAUCCUUUAUAAAAUAGAUUAGGUCCAUUCUUACUUUCAAUGUUGAAUCACUAACUCAUACCUCUACCUCCAGCGAUGUGUAUGAUGGUUCCAGGUUCUCAAUUAAGAGCACCCUACUUGUUUCUAUAGCCGCUUUUAGUUCUUCCUCAAAAGGCUGGAAAAGGGAAUAUAGCAAUGUUAAAUGAAAAAACGAGUGAUUUGAGAACAACUUUUUCUGAACCAGGACAGUUGUUGAACUAACUUUAUCUAAACUACUUCAUAGUUUCUGAAAACUGUAAUAUUAUCCCUUGGUCUGAUUUCGAGUGAUGAAAGCCAAUAGCAUGAAAAACAUUGGCUAUUGGAAUGAAUUGUUUCAGAUUCUUUUUAUAAAACAAAACAUGAUUGUAAUGCAGCUAACAGCGGAAACUGGUGGAGGCGUCAGAGAACUUACCAGUUUCUUGUACCAGCUGCUUUUCUUCUGUAAGGCAAGAAAUAAGAGAAAAUAAUUUGGUAAGUCAUAAGUACAUACUAUCUAAUCUACAGUGAGAAUCAUCUUUCCGCUAUGCUCAAGAAAAGAAAUAGAUCAUUUCCCAAAAAUUGUUUACACUUUUCUGCUGUAAAUUGUCAACAUUUCUCUCAGCUAAUCCACCAAAAGAAGAACUGAAGAAGGAUAGAGAUGGUACGUACGAUGUUCUGACUUGGAGCUUUUUCUACAAGAGGAGGGUUUUUAAUGAAUUUCGUCUCUCCUAGUUGAGGGCCUGAAUCAUCUGAAUCAUCUGUUUCUGGCGUG